This 510-nucleotide ribosomal RNA is filed under the name uncultured bacterium. RNAcentral's name for it is "bacterial SSU rRNA". It matches the Rfam family "Bacterial small subunit ribosomal RNA", at positions 28 to 584 of the family's 1533-position model. The record is from RNAcentral.
AGCGAACGCUGGCGGCAGGCCUAACACAUGCAAGUCGAACGGACCCUUCGGGGUUAGUGGCGGACGGGUGAGUAACACGUGGGAACGUGCCUUUAGGUUCGGAAUAGCUCCUGGAAACGGGUGGUAAUGCCGAAUGUGCCCUUCGGGGGAAAGAUUUAUCGCCUUUAGAGCGGCCCGCGUCUGAUUAGCUUGUUGGUGGGGUAAUGGCCCACCAAGGCUACGAUCAGUAGCUGGUCUGAGAGGAUGACCAGCCACAUUGGGACUGAGACACGGCCCAAACUCCUACGGGAGGCAGCAGUGGGGAAUCUUGCGCAAUGGGCGAAAGCCUGACGCAGCCAUGCCGCGUGUAUGAUGAAGGUCUUAGGAUUGUAAAAUACUUUCACCGGUGAAGAUAAUGACUGUAGCCGGAGAAGAAGCCCCGGCUAACUUCGUGCCAGCAGCCGCGGUAAUACGAAGGGGGCUAGCGUUGCUCGGAAUUACUGGGCGUAAAGGGAGCGUAGGCGGACAUUU